GACAGAGGGUGCAAACGUUGUUCGGAAUUACUGGGCGUAAAGCGCGUGUAGGCGGUCUCGCAAGUCGGAUGUGAAAGCCCAGGGCUCAACCCUGGAAGUGCACUCGAUACUGCGAGGCUAGAGUCCCGGAGAGGAUGGUGGAACUCUCGGUGUGAGGAGGUGAAAUUCGUAGAUAUCGAGAAGAACACCGGUGGCGAAGGCGGCCAGCGUGGACGUGACUGUACGCUGAGACACGAAAGCGUGGGGAG
Molecule: ribosomal RNA, 248 nt
Filed under: uncultured bacterium
Lineage: Bacteria
Description: partial 16S ribosomal RNA
Rfam family: Bacterial small subunit ribosomal RNA
Source: RNAcentral